AUACCUGGCGGCAUGCCUUAUGCAUCGCAAGUAGAACGAGUCUGGCAAGAGAUAGUUGCGAACGGCUGAGUAAUGGAUAGGAAUCUCCCCAAUGGUGUGGAAUACCUCAUCGAAAGAUGAGCUAAUACCGCAUAACCCCGCAAGGGAAAAGCGCUUAACCGCGCGCCGAUGGAUGAGCCUAUCUCCCAUCAGGUAGUUGGUAGGGUAAUGGCCUACCAAGCCAAUGACGGGUACCCGCCCUGAGAGGGGAAACUGGGCAGAAUGGGACUGAGACACGGCCCAUACACCUACGGGUGGCAGCAACAGGGAAUCGUACGCAAUGGACUGAAAGUCUGACGUCGCAAUGCCGCGUGGGGGAUGAAGGCCUUCGGGUCGUAAACUCCUUUUAUAGUAAUAGAGAUGUUAUUAAGAAUAAGCACCUGCUAACUCUGUGCCAGCAGCCGCGGUAAUACAGAGGGUGCAAGCGUUAUCCGGAUUUAUUGGGCGUAAAGCGUUUCGUAGGUGGAUUUAUAAGUUACCCUUCAAAGACUACGGCUUAACCGAGAAGGGGUAAUACUGUGAGUCUUGAUUAUGGUGGGAUUCUGGAACUGAUGGUGUAGUAGUGAAAUACGUUGAUAUCAUCAGACUCCAAGGCGAAGGCAGGAUACUACCAUUAAUGACCUGAGGAACGACAGCUAGGGAGCGAAGGAUUAGAGACCCUGUAGUCCUAGCCGUAACUAUGUUCGCUAGGAUUUGAGGUUACUCAUGUCCGCAGCUAACGCGUUAGCGAACCGCCUGGGAGUACGGCCGCAAGGCUAAACUCAAAGGAAUUGACGGGGACCCGCACAACCAGUGGAGCAUGUGGUUUAAUUCGAGACGAAACGAAGAACCUUACCCAGUUUUGACAUGCAAUCGUUUUAAGCACCUAGAAAUAGGAGCCUAUCUUUAGAAAUAUGGAUGAUUGCACAGGUGUUGCAUGGCCGUCGUCAGCUCGUGCCGUAGGGUGUUCCCUUCAGUGGGGUAACGAGCGCAACCCUUGCCAAAUAUUAAAUAUCUAUUUGGGACUACUUGAAUUUAUUUCAGGUGGAAGUGAGGACGACGUCAGGUCAGCAUGGCCCUUAUGACUGGGGCUACACACAUGCUACAAUGGAGCCGACAGAGGGUAGCCAAGUGGUAACACGGAGCUAAUCCCAUCAAACGGCUUCUCAGUGGGGAUUGGGGGCUGCAAUUCGCCCCCAUGAACGCGGAAUUGGUAGUAAUCGCGCAUCAGCUAUGGCGCGGUGAAUACGUUCUCGGGUCUUGUACACACCGCCCGUCAAGUUAGCAAAGUUGUAGGUACCUUAAAGGCCAAUGUUUGGUCUCAAGGUAAAAACAGCGAUAGAAU
RNAcentral lists this ribosomal RNA (1363 nucleotides) under uncultured bacterium. RNAcentral describes it as "bacterial SSU rRNA". It matches the Rfam family "Bacterial small subunit ribosomal RNA". The record is from RNAcentral.